GGCAUCUCAGCCUUCCUGAAGCUGUCAUAACAAACUGGGAAGGGGGUGUUGUGUGACGAGUAACAAUGAUAGAAUUCACGUGGGGAUUAGGUCUUGAAGGUAACGCUGGUUCAGUGAUAGUGAGCAGCCUGGUUUGUGCUUGAGAACACUCUCUGGGAGCAGAUCACAUGAAGAGAGGUUACAGCAGAAAUCUGGAAGAUGGGAAGAACCAGAAGCGAGGAGCCUCUAAUGAAGGAGAAGGGAAGCUGGACCUCAUAACACAAUCGGAUCUCUCUCCUGAGGCAUCUACAACAACUGGUGAAAAGACAAACAUGAGAAAACCUUCCCUGAGACCCACCUGUAACUAAGAACAGUGAUUCAAAGUCUUUAGGGCCAGGAAUUAGGGCUUUUGAAGUUUCCUGAGAGAUUCCAGCAUAUAGCAGAGUUGAGAAACAUGAGUCCGUGUGUUUAUCCAUGAAUUUAUGCAUAUUGCUUUAUUGAUUUGAAUUGAAGACUAAAAGGAUCAAAAUAAGCAAUGAUAGAAAUUUACAAUAAAGCACACCAUCUCAGCAUUUUAAAUGCAUUUUUGUAUGUAAUAAGACAAAAAAUAAUAAAAUCAACC
RNAcentral lists this long non-coding RNA (601 nucleotides) under Fukomys damarensis (Damara mole-rat). RNAcentral's name for it is "lncRNA (ENSFDAG00000025326.1)". The record is from RNAcentral. Lineage: Eukaryota; Metazoa; Chordata; Mammalia; Rodentia; Bathyergidae.